Molecule: ribosomal RNA, 253 nt
Filed under: uncultured bacterium
Lineage: Bacteria
Description: partial 16S ribosomal RNA
Rfam family: Bacterial small subunit ribosomal RNA
Source: RNAcentral
UACGUAGGGGGCAAGCGUUGUCCGGAAUUAUUGGGCGUAAAGAGCGCGUAGGCGGUCUGAUAAGUCGGUUGUGAAAGUCGGGGGCUCAACCCUCGGAUGCCGAUCGAUACUGUCAGGCUAGAGUCCGGAAGAGGCGAGUGGAAUUCCUGGUGUAGCGGUGAAAUGCGCAGAUAUCUGGAGGAACACCGAUGGCGAAGGCAGCUCGCUGGGACGGUACUGACGCUGAGACGCGAAAGCGUGGGGAGCGAACAGG